Molecule: ribosomal RNA, 253 nt
Filed under: uncultured bacterium
Lineage: Bacteria
Description: partial 16S ribosomal RNA
Rfam family: Bacterial small subunit ribosomal RNA
Source: RNAcentral
UACGUAGGGCGCAAGCGUUAUCCGGAAUUAUUGGGCGUAAAGAGCUCGUAGGCGGUUUGUCGCGUCUGCCGUGAAAGUCCGGGGCUCAACUCCGGAUCUGCGGUGGGUACGGGCAGACUAGAGUGAUGUAGGGGAGACUGGAAUUCCUGGUGUAGCGGUGAAAUGCGCAGAUAUCAGGAGGAACACCGAUGGCGAAGGCAGGUCUCUGGGCAUUAACUGACGCUGAGGAGCUAAAGCAUGGGGAGCGAACAGG